This 255-nucleotide ribosomal RNA is filed under the name uncultured bacterium. RNAcentral's name for it is "partial 16S ribosomal RNA". It matches the Rfam family "Bacterial small subunit ribosomal RNA", at positions 74 to 334 of the family's 1533-position model. The record is from RNAcentral.
CAAACUAAAGCUGGCGACCGGCGCACGGGUGAGUAACACGUAUCCAACCUGCCUCAUACUCGGGGAUAGCCUUUCGAAAGAAAGAUUAAUAUCCGAUAGCAUAUAUUUCCCGCAUGGGUUUUAUAUUAAAGAAAUUCGGUAUGAGAUGGGGAUGCGUUCCAUUAGUUUGUUGGGGGGGUAACGGCCCACCAAGACUACGAUGGAUAGGGGUUCUGAGAGGAAGGUCCCCCACAUUGGAACUGAGACACGGUCCAA